GAUGAACGCUGACAGAAUGCUUAACACAUGCAAGUCGAUUCAAGUUACCUUCGGGUAAUGAGGAUGGCGGACGGGUGAGUAACGCGUAAGGAACUUGCCUCUUGGUCUGGGACAACUGUUGGAAACGACAGCUAAUACCGGAUAUUAUGAGAUUCUCGCAUGGGAAACUUAUGAAAGCUAUAUGCGCCAAGAGAGAGCCUUGCGUUCCAUUAGCUAGUUGGUGGGGUAACGGCCCACCAAGGCGACGAUGGAUAGCCGGCCUGAGAGGGUGAACGGCCACAAGGGGACUGAGACACGGCCCUUACUCCUACGGGAGGCAGCAGUGGGGAAUAUUGGACAAUGGGCCACAAGCCUGAUCCAGCAAUUCUGUGUGCACGAUGAAGGUCUUCGGAUUGUAAAGUGCUUUCAGUUGGGAAGAAGAAAGUGACGGUACCAACAGAAGAAGCGACGGCUAAAUACGUGCCAGCAGCCGCGGUAAUACGUAUGUCGCAAGCGUUAUCCGGAUUUAUUGNGCGUAAAGCGCGUCUAGGCGGAAAAAUAAGUCUGAUGUUAAAAUGCGGGGCUCAACUCCGUAUUGCGUUGGAAACUGUUUUUCUAGAGUACUGGAGAGGUGGGCGGAACUACAAGUGUAGAGGUGAAAUUCGUAGAUAUUUGUAGGAAUGCCGAUGGAGAAGUCAGCUCACUGGACAGANACUGACGCUGAAGCGCGAAAGCGUGGGGAGCAAACAGGANUAGAUACCCUGGUAGUCCACG
Molecule: ribosomal RNA, 753 nt
Filed under: uncultured prokaryote
Description: bacterial SSU rRNA
Rfam family: Bacterial small subunit ribosomal RNA
Source: RNAcentral